CCUACGGGAGGCAGCAGUGGGGAAUAUUGGACAAUGGGGGGAACCCUGAUCCAGCGACGCCGCGUGAGUGAAGAAGUAUUUCGGUAUGUAAAGCUCUAUUAGUAGGGAAGAAAAUGACGGUACCUGACCAAGAAGCCCCGGCUAACUAUGUGCCAGCAGCCGCGGCAAUACGUAGGGGGCAAGCGUUAUCCGGAUUUACUGGGUGUAAAGGGAGCGUAGACGGUGCAGCAAGUCUGAUGUGAAAGGUCGGGGCCCAACCCCGGGACUGCAUUGGAAACUGUUGAACUGGAGUACAGGAGGGGUAAGCGGAAUUCCUAGUGUAGCGGUGAAAUGCUUAGAUAUCACGAAGAACACCGAUGGCGAAGGCAGCUUACGAAACUGCCACUGACGUUGAUGCUCGAAAGUGUGGGUAUCAAACAGGAUUAGAUACCCCUGUAGUC
Molecule: ribosomal RNA, 440 nt
Filed under: uncultured bacterium
Lineage: Bacteria
Description: partial 16S ribosomal RNA
Rfam family: Bacterial small subunit ribosomal RNA
Source: RNAcentral